AUCCGGCUGACGAGUUCCAAAUAGGAUGAAACAUGUGUAUCAAACUGGAU
This 50-nucleotide non-coding RNA is filed under the name Schistosoma margrebowiei. Lineage: Eukaryota; Metazoa; Platyhelminthes; Trematoda; Strigeidida; Schistosomatidae. The record is from RNAcentral.